GCGGGGAUACCCGAGUCUGGUCUAAGGGGCAGGGCACACCCUGUGGCGCAGGCCUUCGUGGGUUCGAAUCCCACUCCCCGCACCA
Molecule: transfer RNA, 85 nt
Filed under: Candidatus Bathyarchaeota archaeon
Lineage: Archaea; Thermoproteati; Candidatus Bathyarchaeota
Also listed under: 1 other name
Description: tRNA-OTHER
Rfam family: tRNA
About the family: Transfer RNA (tRNA) molecules are approximately 80 nucleotides in length. Their secondary structure includes four short double-helical elements and three loops (D, anti-codon, and T loops). Further hydrogen bonds mediate the characteristic L-shaped molecular structure. tRNAs have two regions of fundamental functional importance: the anti-codon, which is responsible for specific mRNA codon recognition, and the 3' end, to which the tRNAs corresponding amino acid is attached (by aminoacyl-tRNA synthetases). tRNAs cope with the degeneracy of the genetic code in two manners: having more than one tRNA (with a specific anti-codon) for a particular amino acid; and 'wobble' base-pairing, i.e. permitting non-standard base-pairing at the 3rd anti-codon position.
Source: RNAcentral